UGCCUACGGGGGGCAGCAGUAGGGAAUCUUCCACAAUGGACGAAAGUCUGAUGGAGCAACGCCGCGUGAGUGAAGAAGGGUUUCGGCUCGUAAAGCUCUGUUGGUAGUGAAGAAAGAUAGAGGUAGUAACUGGCCUUUAUUUUACGGUAAUUACUUAGAAAGUCACGGCUAACUACGUGCCAGCAGCCGCGGGAAUACGUAGGUGGCAAGCGGUGUCCGGAUUUAUUUGGCGUAAAGCGGGUGCAGGCGGCUCAAUAAGUCUGAUGUGAAAGCCUUCGGCCCAACCGGAGAAUUGCAUCAGAAAC
Molecule: ribosomal RNA, 305 nt
Filed under: uncultured bacterium
Lineage: Bacteria
Description: bacterial SSU rRNA
Rfam family: Bacterial small subunit ribosomal RNA
Source: RNAcentral